UACGAAGGGGGCUAGCGUUGCUCGGAAUCACUGGGCGUAAGGCGCACGUAGGCGGCUUGUUAAGUCAGGUGUGAAAUCCUGGAGCUCAACUCCAGAACUGCCUUUGAUACUGGCGAGCUUGAGUCCGGGAGAGGUGAGUGGAACUGCGAGUGUAGAGGUGAAAUUCGUAGAUAUUCGCAAGAACACCAGUGGCGAAGGCGGCUCACUGGCACGGUACUGACGCUGAGGUGCGAAAGCGUGGGGAGCAAACAGG
RNAcentral lists this ribosomal RNA (253 nucleotides) under uncultured bacterium. RNAcentral's name for it is "partial 16S ribosomal RNA". It matches the Rfam family "Bacterial small subunit ribosomal RNA", at positions 524 to 776 of the family's 1533-position model. The record is from RNAcentral.